RNAcentral lists this ribosomal RNA (201 nucleotides) under Triticum aestivum (bread wheat). RNAcentral's name for it is "partial small subunit ribosomal RNA". The record is from RNAcentral. Lineage: Eukaryota; Viridiplantae; Streptophyta; Magnoliopsida; Poales; Poaceae.
AUGGUAAAGUGGGCAGAUAUUUGCAUGCCUAAAGACCUGGGUGGACUAGGCAUCAUUGCCUCCCGUCGCAUGAACAUGGUGCUCAUGCUGAGAUGGGUAUGGAGGAUCCUACGCGGCGAGGGAGGACUAUGGCUAUAGCUCAUUCAGGCGAAAUAUCUUAGGGGAGAACCGCUCUUGGCAUGCACCCGGACGGAUGGCUCA